CUGCCAUGUAAGACAUGGCUUUUACCUUCCACCAUGAUUGUGAGGCCUUUCCAGCUACAAGGAACUUCCUCUAGGCAAGAAAAAAAAGAAGUCAAAGGAAAGACAAAGGAAGGAAAUGGAAGGAAAGGACAAAGAAGGAAAGUCUACUCUGAAUCUUGACAUGUCAGCUUGAUUCUAGAAGUGUGUUUAUUUAGAGGACUUACCCACAACUUUAACCUUGAUGCUUGCAUGUGCCUCUCCAGCUUCGUUUUUCAGAUUGAUGUGGUAAACACCAGAGUCAUCUCUUUCAGCUACAUCAAUGACCAGAGUGCUGCUGUCAGGGCUAGCGAUAUGCAGUAUGAUACUCUCUUGUGAUAGUGGGUGGCAGCAGCGAGCCUCAGCUCCCAGUUAACCAUAUAAUCAUGACUGAUCUCCACAGUGUACUGUGUUGCCAGACGAUUUGUCCAACUGUAGGCUAAUAGAAACUAGGUGAAUGCAGAAAAUUGCAUCCACCUGAAAUGACCCAGCAAGGAAUGCACAAAAUCUGCAGACUCACACCUCAAACAUUUAUCAGCUACCUCAGUUCAUCCAUGUGAUAUAAGCCACACCCAUUUAUAUCUGAGGUCACUACUACUCAUCAGAUUUUGAAUAAUCCUCUUUCUACUGCUUCACAACAGUUCACAAGCCACAACACUUCCAGCAUUGCUUCUUCUUCAACAAACCAGAAGACUCGUUAGGAUCCAUAACAGCUGCCAGCGUAGAGGAGCCUCAGUUACUUUCACUUUGAUCAUUAUCCCUGGGAGAAGAAGCCAACAGCUCCUGGUGACCACAAUAAGAGAUUCCAUUUUUACCUCGUACGAAGAGCUCAGUGGAACAUUUCUCAUCACCGGCUGUCACAUAAUACUCCGAAUCAUCUGUCAUCUGACAGUUAUUGAUAAACAGGAUUCUCUGGCAUCCUUUGUGUUCAAAGAUGUACCUGUUUUGAAUAGGAGGAAAAUAAACAGAGUCUGUGAA
Symphalangus syndactylus (siamang) is the source of this 993-nucleotide long non-coding RNA. RefSeq lists it as uncharacterized. The record is from RefSeq and is a predicted model, not a curated record. NCBI's taxonomy places the organism in Eukaryota, Metazoa, Chordata, Mammalia, Primates, Hylobatidae.